Long non-coding RNA from Haemorhous mexicanus (house finch), 887 nucleotides. RefSeq lists it as uncharacterized. The transcript has 3 exons. The record is from RefSeq and is a predicted model, not a curated record. Lineage: Eukaryota; Metazoa; Chordata; Aves; Passeriformes; Fringillidae.
UUUAAUUUCAUGGCUGUUCUGUGUUAGGUUUUUAAACAGUCCCACAGCAAUAAAAUAUGUAAUUAACAGUCCUAGUCCUAAACUGGUAACCUUGUUUGAAUUAUUAGCAGAAUUUGAAGACUAAAUGGCCCCAGAUAUUUGCCUUGUUAGCAGAGUUUCUGUAUUUAAGAGACUUAGGAAUUUGGAAGCCUUAGACUAAGGGCUUUAGGGUUUCUUUUCAUAUACACUUAAGAAAGCAUUUGCAUCUUUUCUUGAUUUCUUUUUUGUGAAAAUUGUGGUCUCAUGAAGAUUUAAAAAAAAUAAAUUCACAAUUCUGAUCAGGUUUAAUUCUCUAUUGCUUGUGGCACUGUGGAAAACUUCAAGAGAUGGAUUGGAAGUUGUACCUUACCUUCAUGUCCCUCCUAACAAGAUUUACAGUGCCCAUCCCACAGGUCUGCCUGUCCAAAGGAGAGGAAGGUCAUUACACAGAUAAAGCUCUGCAGGAACCUGGAAUAUGGAUGACUGUUGUCUGCAUCAGUCUUUCUCUUCCCUCCAAAGGAGGAAGAUUCAAUAAUGGCACAUUAUGAAAUGGACAGGUUCUCUAGCCCUGUGAUCGUCUUGCUGCUCCUCGUCUGGACCCACUCCAACAGCUCUACGCCCUUUUCAUGCUGAGGACCUCAGAACUGGAUGCAGUACUACAGGCAGAAGGGCAGAAUUCCCUCCCUCGACCUGCAGGCCACGCUGCUUUGGAUGCAGCCCAGGACGUGAAUGAAAUAUUUUUUCCGCCAUUCCCUUCCAAAAUACUGAGAAAGUAGCUUAUAUCGGCGGGAAGGACAGCAGAGCCCUUAGCUUGCUUUUCCUGCCGCGGAGGGCGCGGCCCGGCGGGCAGGGGCAGUACCCGGCCUCGC